RNAcentral lists this ribosomal RNA (259 nucleotides) under uncultured bacterium. RNAcentral describes it as "partial 16S ribosomal RNA". It matches the Rfam family "Bacterial small subunit ribosomal RNA", at positions 793 to 1055 of the family's 1533-position model. The record is from RNAcentral.
GUCCACGCCGUAAACGAUGAUAACUCGCUCUUGGUCCGCAAGGAUCUGGGGCUUAGCGAAAGCGUUAAGUUAUCCACCUGGGGAGUACGCCGGCAACGGUGAAACUCAAAGGAAUUGACGGGGGCCCGCACAAGCGGAGGAACAUGUGGUUUAAUUCGAUGAUACGCGAGGAACCUUACCCAGGCUCGAACGCCGAACGAAUACAGGGGAAACUUUGUAGCCAGCAAUGGCGGUCGGCGAGGUGCUGCAUGGUUGUCGU